RNAcentral lists this ribosomal RNA (493 nucleotides) under uncultured bacterium. RNAcentral's name for it is "partial 16S ribosomal RNA". It matches the Rfam family "Bacterial small subunit ribosomal RNA", at positions 27 to 507 of the family's 1533-position model. The record is from RNAcentral.
GAGUGAACGCUGGCGGUAGGCCUAACACAUGCAAGUCGAACGGCAGCACAGUAAGAGCUUGCUCUUACGGGUGGCGAGUGGCGGACGGGUGAGGAAUACAUCGGAAUCUACUUUUUCGUGGGGGAUAACGUAGGGAAACUUACGCUAAUACCGCAUACGACCUACGGGUGAAAGCAGGGAAUCUUCGGACCUUGCGCGAUUGAAUGAGCCGAUGUCGGAUUAGCUAGUUGGCGGGGUAAAGGCCCACCAAGGCGACGAUCCGUAGCUGGUCUGAGAGGAUGAUCAGCCACACUGGAACUGAGACACGGUCCAGACUCCUACGGGAGGCAGCAGUGGGGAAUAUUGGACAAUGGGCGCAAGCCUGAUCCAGCCAUACCGCGUGGGUGAAGAAGGCCUUCGGGUUGUAAAGCCCUUUUGUUGGGAAAGAAAAGCAGCAGGUUAAUACCCCGCUGUUCUGACGGUACCCAAAGAAUAAGCACCGGCUAACUUCGUG